GCGGAGGAAAAGAAACUAACCAGGAUUCCCCUAGUAACGGCGAGUGAAGCGGGAAUAGCUCACCAUGUGAAUCUGUGCUCUGCACAGAAUUGUGAUCUGUAGACGUUGGCAUUACUGGGCUGGGUCAAGUCCCUUGGAACAGGGCAGCCGAGAGGGUGAGACUCCCGUCCACCUGGCCCUUGGAGCCUGCGUCGUCGAGUCGAGUUGUUUGGGAUUGCAGCUCAAAGUGGGUGGUAAAUUCCAUCUAAGGCUGAAUACUGGUGGGAGACCGAUAGCGUACAAGUACCGUGAGGGAAAGAUGCAAAGCCGCGCGAAAGCGCUGUUAAAGAGUACCUGAACUUGCUGAAAAGGAAGCGAAGGAAACCAGUGUCGGCUGCGUCAUACUUCCCCUGCUGCUUGCGGCUGGGGCGCUGUGGCCAGUGUGGUCCAUCUUGAUUGUGGUUGCCGGAUUUGCGCUCGGGGAGUUGACCCGGGUUGC
This 478-nucleotide ribosomal RNA is filed under the name Amphora pseudograeffeana. Its description in RNAcentral is "eukaryotic LSU rRNA". It matches the Rfam family "Eukaryotic large subunit ribosomal RNA", at positions 50 to 497 of the family's 3401-position model. Lineage: Eukaryota; Bacillariophyta; Bacillariophyceae; Surirellales; Surirellaceae. The record is from RNAcentral.